AGUAUUAAAUGUGCUUAGAAAAUUCCGUAAAAUUUAUGUACUAACCCCCUGUGUUGUGGACUUCAUGUAAGUAUCCUCAAUUCGCGAAAAUUCAACAGUUGUCCAGGUUUGUGAAUUUCAGGCCAGACAGACCCGCGACCAGAAAAGUCUCCGAUCCGAACUGGAUCGAGGUUUUGGAUACUCCACCAUUGUCAGACAUCCCGAGCACGUUCCUGAAGUCGAAAUCGGCAAAGGUAA
Molecule: unclassified non-coding RNA, 237 nt
Filed under: Hevea brasiliensis (rubber tree)
Lineage: Eukaryota; Viridiplantae; Streptophyta; Magnoliopsida; Malpighiales; Euphorbiaceae
Source: RNAcentral